Molecule: unclassified non-coding RNA, 254 nt
Filed under: uncultured Acidimicrobiia bacterium
Lineage: Bacteria; Bacillati; Actinomycetota; Acidimicrobiia
Description: contains 16S-23S intergenic spacer region
Rfam family: Bacterial small subunit ribosomal RNA
Source: RNAcentral
UACGUAGGGGGCGAGCGUUGUCCGGAUUUAUUGGGCGUAAAGAGCUCGUAGGCGGCUUGGCAAGUCGGGUGUGAAACCUCCAGGCUUAACCUGGAGACGCCACUCGAUACUGCCAUGGCUAGAGUCCGGUAGGGGACCACGGAAUUCCUGGUGUAGCGGUGAAAUGCGCAGAUAUCAGGAGGAACACCGGUGGCGAAGGCGGUGGUCUGGGCCGGUACUGACGCUGAGGAGCGAAAGCGUGGGGAGCGAACAGG